Molecule: non-coding RNA, 54 nt
Organism: Salmo salar (Atlantic salmon)
Lineage: Eukaryota; Metazoa; Chordata; Actinopteri; Salmoniformes; Salmonidae
Source: Rfam
UGUAUUCACUACUGUAAGUUGCUCUGGAUAAGAGCGUCUGCUAAAUGACCAAAA